This 5247-nucleotide long non-coding RNA is filed under the name Triticum aestivum (bread wheat). RNAcentral's name for it is "long non-coding RNA (TAES_LNC017576)". The record is from RNAcentral. Lineage: Eukaryota; Viridiplantae; Streptophyta; Magnoliopsida; Poales; Poaceae.
UGUUUUUUUUUUUCUUGUUUUGUAAAUUAAAGCGGACCAACUCCUGAGUCAAGGGGAAGUCUUGCAGGUUCUUUUGACUGUACCAGUAGUAUAGUCGACGGGUAUUCCUUCGGGCUCUCAUUGGUUGGUUCAAUGCGUGCAUCCUCACGGGCCACCGGCAGUGAACCUGCUCUUCACUAGCUAGCGCGGGUUUGGCGUUGCAGACACGGCACAUGUGGCCACAGUUGCCCAAGAUCGCUCUGCUAUGCAGAAGACACAGGCACGGAGGCAGAGUCUUGAUCGGUGAAAGUGCAUGCCGCUGCAGCACCGAGCACUACAUGGCAUGGACCACCCGCCUGAGGAUCAUGUGCAUGUCCAGACGUCAUGGCUAAGCGAGUAAAGAUCAAACGACAUGAUGCGUUAGUAGGAAGCCAAGUAUAGCACAUAUAUUCAACAGGAAAACUGAUUUUCUGGUAUAUAUAUCAGACUGACAAAUUGACCCAGUAUAUGAGAUUCAAAUUAAUGGUGAUAUGUUGUCUAAAAAAUCAUUGGUGGUCUCAUUUGUUCGUCAGAUAACUAAUUAAUGACACACACCGUAACUUUCUUCCUGUAUGAUUGGUAGACCUUAAAUUCAACUCUAAGCAGUUCAAUAUUUCUCAAUGAUUCAUGUUUAAUCUGUGUGCUACGCAUGCAAGCUUAGCAUGUUUAGUUGCCCAUGAUAAAGCAGAAGUAUUUAUCCUGAUUAAAGACCAACAGGGCAUAAAAUUUCAGCACAAAGCAUAAUUAUUUAGAUUGAUUAAGAGCAACAGGUCAUAAAGCUCAGUGCUAAAGAGUAGCAGAAUGACAUCAAUUUUGCCAUAUACAGGGCUAAUAUAGAAUUCUCAAAGUACCUAUCGUUCGUACAAAGCAAUAAAAGUCUGAGAGAGCAUCCAGCAGUACUGAUGCAACAUAUUAUUCAGAGGUAGGCAUUACUACAAGUAGUGAACCAUCGAAUAGAAGUUCACUGAAACAGCGCCCAGGCGAUGCAAAGUCCAGCCACCAUUACAGCAGCUCAUUCAUCCAAAUAAUGACUUAUAUAAGCUAUUCUUACAUAGCAUAUUGGAAAAAGAGUACAAAACCCAUCAUGGAUAGAAAACUAAAAGUCAUCCUUAUAUGAUGUACCGGCAAAAUAAAGUACUUAGUGCAGCUUCGAUGGAGAUUUGGAUAGACAGCAUAGUCUGCCGUCGACCUCAAUUUAAUCAGAUGCCUAAAAGUAAGUACCGGAGAGUUACAUCGGUAGUUAUCAAAAAGAAUGGUCACCAAGACAAAAAAAAAAUGAUCUCCUAAGAGAAUGGUCUACCAACACGAUGAAACAAAUCAAUUUGAUAAUUAAUAUGUUAAUACAUAAAAUUAUCUCGUAAAGGACACCAUAACUGCAUCAACACACAAGGGAAAAUUAUGUCCUAAAAGCAUAAUGUACUCACAUUAAUUAUCAGUGCUCAAAAAUAUCAUAACAAACCUGAGCAACCCAAGCAGCGAACAAAAGCCAAUAGCAAAUGCUCACUGGUCACAACAAAAUGGGAAAUCAGAUGGGUCGACCCAUAUCACCAGUGAGGCUAACUAAAAGGAAACUAAAACCAUGCCUGAUCCAAGAUUUUGUGGUGAUACCAGUCAUUAGUAAAACCCAAAUAGUUUCCAAUUAUACAACUAAAGGAAACCACCCCCCGGGUGGUGCACUCUGCUUCUAUUCAUCUCUACUGGCUAGCUCUCUCCCUCUAUCUUUGUUAAGCAUUAGUAAAUAACUAAAUAUAGUAAAGGACAAAAUGACUUGGCAAAAGCAAUCCACACAACAAAAAGAGAGAUGCAAGGCAGCGAUAAUUACUUGUCGCAUUGUUCUUUCGAAACUAUACAUAUCUGUAAUGUUCUUUUGAAACUAUACAUAUCUGUACCAGUUGACCAUGACCGCACAAAUCUACACGACAACAUGUUUUGAAAACAUAUCCUGAAGGGAAGAUGGGCUGCAUGAAAAAAGCAGGCCCAAUUAUCCAUGGACAGCAGGAUUGUACAACAUGCUAAACUACAAUAAAAUGGAAUAUUUAAGUUACAUCGCAAUCUGUAUAAAUGUGCAAGAAACAUUUUUUUCCUACAUAGUUUUAUAUGUAUUGUCCAUCUCCCUCCAAUAUUCAGUACCAAGCAGGCUAUAAAUGUCAUGGGUAGGAUACAAUCUAUUACUCUGUUUUCGAUAAGCUCUUUACACAUAUUAGUAUGUUAGAACAAGGUAACAAGCUAAAAAAUAUUCUUAAAAUGACAUGAAGUUUUUAAACAAAUCGUCAUCAAAUGGAAAUUAUUUGCAUACUGGAAGAUAUAUUGAGCCUUACCUCCAAUAUAAAGAAAAAUAGAGAAUAAACUUCUGACACUUUAUUAGGCUGACGACCUUAUACAACAAGUGGUCUGAAGUUACUCUGUUACCAAUCUCCCGAUUGAAAAUGCCAUGAAGAAGAAGUGUCUGUGAAGAAGUGAUGAAACUUGUUCCCACAAGAAUAUAUGUACAUUUGAAAUAUAUUAAAUUGGUGGUAGCUAAGUCAUUGACAAUUUUGUGGUUCAAAAUAAUAGUAUAAUCACAAUGCCCUAUAAGCUACCAAUUCAGCAGCCUGAACCCUGGCAGUUGUUUCUCUUCGCUCGAUCUUCUAAGUAGGUUAAAAAGCUAUUGUUUCCAUAAAUAUUUGAAUCACAGCCACCAUGGCCCAGAUAUAAAUAUGACCCAUUGACUUUGUUUUUGUUCUGGUCGCUAGCAAGCAAAACUCCACUGGCUGUAUUCCCAUUGGUGGCAAGAUAAUGGAUGGAGCGGAUGCAUAACCACUCGACCAACUGCCAUUUGACGAUUAGUAACAACAGUUAGCUUUAUAUAACAUGCACAGUACUAAUUAAAGUAGAAAUUAAAAUGAAAAAAGAGUGUGCAAAAAAGGGAUAGCCGCAUGUGCAAUUAAAGAGAUAUACACAAUUUAUUUUUUGUUUUCCUUUUCUUUUUUCCUAUGUAAGAAAACAACUUAUAUUCUAAAUAAACUUUUCGGACAAAUCGACUAAAUUUUUGUUUAAAUUCGAAUAAUUUUAAAUUUGAAAAUCUACAUAAAAGGAAAUUUGGUGCAGAAUGAAUAUAUGUAAAGUUUUCGAACAAAUCAACUAAAUUUGGUUUGAAAUCAAAUAAUUUUAACUUAAAAAAUAUAGUGCAGAGUGAAUGCACAUAAGUUCCUUUGGACAAAACGACGAAAUUUUUGUUUGAAUUUGAAUAAUUUUAAAUUAAAAAUCUAGAUAAAAGGAAAUAUAGUGCAGAACCAAUGUACAUAAAUUUUUCAGACAAAUCAACUAAAUUUUUGUUUCAAAUCCACUAAUUUUAACUUAGAAAAUCUUGUACAGAAUGAAUGAAGAUAAAUUCUUUUGGACAAAUGAAUGAAAUUUUUGUUUGAAUUCGAAUAAUUUAAACAUGAAAAAUCUGGAUAAAUAAAAUAUAGGUCAGGAUGAAUGUAUGUAAUUUUUUUAGACAAAGCAGCUAUUUUUUUUAUUCGGAUAAUGUUGGCAUUGGCCUGGUUGGAUCGUGCUAGGCACCUGCUUCGUGUUCGCAUCCAGGGGUGUGUAGCGAUCAUGUUGCAUGUACUUUCCUCUCAUGGUACCAUAAUCUACCACGGAUACAUCCUAAAGUACAGAUCGACUCUACUCCGCCAUUGUCGUGAUGAUAAGACAGGUGUGAUGGCACGGAAGGGCUGUCCGUGAAGACCAAAUUAAAAAAAAAAAUGGAUGGAUCUUCGCCUGCUAUGAUAUGCUGGAUAUGUGCCAGUGAAGUUGUUGAUGACCUAGUGUGAGGCCGUCAUGGUCUACCAAGGCAUGCCCGACUAGCGAGAAAUGCCCGGGUAGCUGUGGCAUCGUCGUACGAUAGAGUGAACUUUUUUUUGCCAUGAAUAAUGAGAAGAGUUGUUGUCCGUCUUAUCCUGCGCCAGGCCGGCGAGCAUGAUCCAAUAGGUGACCGCCUCAGCGAUCAUGAUCUAAUAAGUAGAGACUCCUCUAUCUCACCAAGAAGUUUCCCUUGUAAUACAGGUCAGUCGAGGCAGCUCUCCCAAAUGACACUUGGAUAACUGAUCUAGCGCAUGGCAACAUACAGCCGUUGUGGGCAGAGGUGCUGCGCCUCCGAAGAUGGUUGCCGCCCAAAAACAUUCAGCUAAACGAGAACUGCCGCGACGCGAUCAGAUGGAAACACGAGGUUUCAGGCGUCGCGUCUACACCACUACUAUGCAUACAACUGUCAGUUUCAAGGGUUUGAUCAAGUCACGGCUCAGGAAGCUGUUCUGGCAGGCUUGGGCGCCGGGACGGCUGAAUUAUUUUUGUCUGGCUCCUGCACAAAAAUCGACUUUGGUGCAACGACCGUAUGCAAACAAGAGGUUGGCCAAAUGGCUACUUGUGGCAGAUGUGCCUACGUAACCUGGAAUCCGCCGAACACCGCUUCUAGAAUUGCAACAUCUCCUACUCUGUUUGGCUCACAUCAGCGCAAUGUGGAUGCACUUCUUUACAUCCAGAUACAUGGAAGAAGAGCAAGAAGAAGAAAAAAUAAAGAGCAAGAAGAGCACAGAAAUCAUCACGUCCAUGAUCGACGGAGCUAGGCCGGAGUUCCUUCUGUCCGUCUUACGGGAGAUUUGGCAGGAGAGAAACAAAAGCACUUUCAGAGGAAAAAUUGAAUCCUCGACUGCAAUUGUCAGGAGAACGCUGGAGUGAUGGAGGCAGGCAGGAGCAGCAAAAUUAGAGCACCCUUUUGGGGAUCCACCGUGAGAAUAAUCAAAUCAGGACUGAUGCCUGUACUCUUUUGUACUCCCUCCGUGAAGAAAUAUAAGAGCGUUUAUUUACCCUUGAUACUUGGGUCACCUGACAUUCGACCUUUGUAUUCCCGUAUGCUUCCUGCUAAUAUCAAUAUAAGCCAGCCAUCAGCUGGAUCUUUAAAAAAAUAUCUGAUGACCAAAUAGCUCGGGAUAACAGAAGCAUGUGCCAGGGCAGCAAAAUCCACAUUGCUCAAGGGUUCAAAUUACAGAGACAACCGCGCCCGCUUACACAACUGUUAAAAUUUGUUCUUUUCAUAACGCGCAUACAACACGUUUUUGCACAGCAAUAUCGCUAGUACAUGGAUGUCAUGAUCUUACAUGUCAAACAUACCAAGUCCACCACAUGAGUAUCCUACUCACACAUUGCUUUGCUUGUACAGCUUCGUGUCCAGCACUUGCUUGCCACACAUCGCACACACCCCUGAAA